CCCUGGUUACAGGAGUAAAUACAAUUAGUGCAGCACAUUAUGCACUGCCUUCCUAUUUGUCGGUGCAUUCACCUCAGUGCAAGCAACACAAUGCCUGAGUGCCACUUACGUGCUACUGCCAACUCCAGCUGCCCCACGUACCCGAGUCAGACUUGAGGAGGCAUGCCUUAAAGAGCACAAGCACUGUGAGUAAAGCCUUCUGUAUGUGUCUGCAUUGUGUCACAGUCACAAGAUGAUCACUGUAUACGAUAGAUCGUCGCUGUGUUCCCUGAACCUGACACAUACCUGAAGUGCCCGUUGGCCCGCAGCCAGUGGAAAGUUCCCUUUCUCACCUGGAUGCAGUCAGAGCGGUGGCCAUGUAAAAAAUGGCACCACCUCCCGCCAGGUGUGAGCGGCCGAGAACAGCACCUACCUGGCAAAGCAUUCGAGCGUUGCUGAGGAAAUGUGAGGCAGCCCAGCCCUGCGUACGUGCUGCCACAUUCUGGAAGAUGGAAAACAAAAGCUAAAAGAGGAUGGUUAACCUUUUCUAAUUGUCGCAGCACAGGACUAGUUGCCAGGAGGAACUUGAGCGCUAAUCCUACUUUACUCACCAUGUGACCUUUGGGUAAGUUACCUAAUUACCUUGUCCUUCAGUCAGCAGAGCCUGUAAAGAGCAGGUGUUCCAGUGGAAGCCAGGACUGCUGAGCCAACCUGUGUCUUUAGGAAAUAACCAGAGAAUAAAGCUCGUCACACUUUUUAAAAGGUGGAAUUGAUGCACAGAGGUAAAAUGUUCUGCACAAAGUUUAAUCCUGCCCUCUAAUCUUCUGAUGGGGCACAGGACUGAGCCCAGACUAUACGAUUGCAUGAAAUAUGUAGGUCACUCCAGAAGUAGUGCCUCCUAUUCAUUUUCAUGGAAACCACAACAGAUACAAAGAGCACAAUAACAGUAUUUGAUAGAGCAAAUUCUUAACUACAAAACAGUACUUUUCAACACAGUCACCACCAUUAGCUCUGUGUUUUCACCAGCAAUGAACAAGAGCCUGCAUGACAUGCUCAUAAAAAUCUGCACCAGCAGAAGUGACCCACUGUUUCCCAGCUGCUACGAUGGCAUUGUUGCUAGGAAAACGUUGCCCACACUGUCCAGCUUUCACCGUGCUCACGUCCACUGUUUGGUCUCCGUAAACAUUCAGCAGUCAUUGGUGAACGUCAGUGGGUGCCAUUUUUUUCCACAUGGAGGAAUUCAGUGACACACCUUUGCUUCUUACGUACUUCCACGUCAGAUGCCAUUGUGUCAGACUGUUCCUCUGCUGCCAUCUGUCACACGGCAACAACAUGUAAUGGAAUACUGGUGGGAAGGUUCAACCUCUGCUGCUGUACCACCAACGUCUGCCUCUAAUGUUGUGGGCCAACCUAUUAACACAGAAGGCAUUACUUUUGGAGCUGCUCUCAUAUCAUUCUGGAGGGCAUGUGGUGUUUGUGGAGGAGAGGUCUAGUCAAAUUAUAACUGAAUCAGCUCUGUUCUGCUGGAAUUAAUUUCCCCCAGCUGGGCUGCACGGAUCCUCUGCUUCCCUGGCAGCCCCGUGCUGCUGCUGCCAGGAGCACCCGCCAGGUCCCACAGUGGCUGCCUCCCGGAGGAGGUGGGAUUUCCCCUCUGUGCAGUUCCAUUCAGAAGGAACUUUUGGGCUGAGAUAAAAAACCUCAGCACAAAGAAGUGCUUACAAGCUUUUUCCCCUUCAGUCUCUUCUCCUUCCUGGGUAUAUUUUUUUAAUUGACUCUUCUUAACAGUAGUUUCAUCUCUUUUCUUCCUCAAAUUAUGUGCUAUUAGGUACGUAUACAGUUCUCCUUUUUUUCCAGAUUCUUCACGCUGAUGUAAAAUGAAAAGAUACAAACAGCCGUCCCCAGAGAGUAUUCUCUCUCUUGUGAAAGAUCUUUCACCUUGCAUUGUAAAAGCACUUUACAGAACUAUUUGUUCCCUUUUUGCAUUUGAUGUCGAAGAAAAUGCCAGUGUCUCUCUGCUUUGGAUUACAAACACAUCGUUUAUUAUUAUCUGGCACUCAGGAGGCAAUCCUGCCUCUUGGAGUAGGACCUGCUUAUUUUUCUGGUUUGAUCUCUCUUUCAUUUAAAGGAGGAAAAUUCCAGGGAGAUGCAUUGCAAAGAGCCAAGCUGCACUCAUCUCCUCUUCUCAGCAAGUCUGGUCCUCACAGUCAUUUGCUACAAUGGUCCAGGUAUGGUAUUCAUUUAAACCUUCCCUUUUUAUAAUAUACUAUGAAUUCAGAAGCUGAAAUGCAGUCCUCUUUUGGAUGAAGACAUUUUGAAACCAGAUUUCUAGAAUGAGGUUUUGAUCCCUUCUUAUUCAAAAGCACCCAUAACCAUGAACGGUCUAAUUGAAACAGGAGGCGCUUGCCACGGACUAAGGAACAAUUCAAUGGGAUUAAAGCAAUGCAGAAUCUGGGCUGUUGUGAUUAAAUUUUGCAAAUAUUAACUGACAAAUCUUGGCACAAAUCCUAGCCAAUAUGUAAUGGAGCAGUUCCCCAGAAGAGAGCUGAGCCUUGCCUGAGGUGUAGCAGCAUAGCUGUUUUGACACGUCCUUCCAUUGUCUUCUCUUGACAGAAGCGAAAGAUUUUGGCUAAUGAAGUGCUCUUUGAGGGGUAUUAAGGUUAGUUUGGAAAGAGCAAUUUCAAGGGAAAAAGUCUGCAAUGUGACAAGAAAGCCAGACAGCAGAAGUCCUUCUGCCCUGAAAACUGACUCUAGGAGUAAAAACCUUUCCCACAACCCAAUGAGCUUCUUAGGGCAAUUCCACACCAUACGAUGAAGUGUGCUGCAAGGAUCCCAGUGCUGGCCAUAGAGCUGGCAGCAGGACCAGGAGCUCAAGAGCUGUGUCAGCAUGGUCCAGUGAAUAAGUCCAUCCUCCUUGCUUAGAAGCCAAUAUGCCGUGAUUUCCAAAGUGAGUUCACCUCCCUCCAGGCUUUGCACUGUGCUGAAUGUACAGACAAGUCUUCCUGGGGCUUGCUUUGGACUUUUCGCAAGUGCAAUAUUACACAUACCUGCAUGUUCCUUCAGCUGAAGAAUAAGCGUUGGGAAAUGGAAAGGAAGAAGCCCCUGUUCUGUGACAACAGGACAAUGCCAUUUGUCAUUUGUCCCUGAGUUUUCUACUAACAGACUAUUGAGAGGAUGUUGUUUGUCUUUUUUUUUUUUUUUUUGGCUUCAGCUGCCUUUUAGGUUCCAGGAUGAAUCCGAGUUGCUGAUAUUCAUCUGUGAGUAUACCACUUCUCAGGGAGACUGCCAGUUUGACCCAGAGCCAAGUUUCACAGAGGUGCUGCAGCUGGUGCAAGUAGGUCAUUAAUGGUGAGGGUCUCCCACUUCGAAAUUACUCUUCUCUGUUUUUGACCUGAAAUAACCUGUUGAAUCAAUCUGUGUCCACUUGUGAGCAUCAGGCUCCAAGACAGUUGUUGACCAACUGGAGAGCGUCCAGCAGGAAGGCAGGAACAAGAGCGAUCAGAGGGCUAGAAAACAUGAGCUAUGAGGAAAGACUGAAAGAGUUGGGUUUGUUUAGUCUAGGGGAUUGAAGACGGUUAGACGUGAUAACACCCUUCAAGUAUGUGAAAGGCUACUGCAAAGAGGAAGGAUAAACUGCUCUUCAUGUCUGCUGGGGACAGGAAAGGAAGUAAUGGGCUUAAAGUGCAACAAAGGAAAUUCAGGUGAGAUGUUAAGAGACAUUUUCCAGUUGUGAGACUCAUGAAUUGCUGGGAUGAUUAGCUGUGUGAAAACACUGCCAUGGGAAGGUCUGAGCAAUGGCUGAGAUAACUAUCUGAAAUCCAGCACCUUCAGCACAGCAGAUCCUAUCUGGAGGCUGGUGGAAGGGUAAGAUGACCUUAAAAAUUUCUUCCAGCUCAGUUUUUUGUAUGAUUUCUGUUAUCAAAGCAGAAAUUCACAAAGCUGGCUCUCAAUUAUCUGGAGGGUAUUUUGCUCCUGGGCACUUCUCUGGUUUUAUGAAUUGUUGUUUCAUGGGAGGAGGGUUCUGGGGAAGUUGUUCAUCCUGAGAUCAUCUAGAAGAAAAUCCCAAAUUAAAAACACUUGAAGGGUGUUACAAAUGCAACCAAACAAAAGUGAAGGGCAGGUUUCUCUGCUGCUGUAAAAAUAAGGCUCCUUGCUGGGCCAGCUGCCCUCAUCAGUGUCCUAAACCAUCCAUCCAGUGGUGGCCAAUGUGGUGGUCUUUGCACCAAGUACAACCUGAGUCCAACAAAAAUAAACAAAUGGACACCUGAGCACUCAGGAGCAGCCAGGAAUUGCUGGGAUUCUUUAUGUAACUCAAUAAAAGGGAAAGAAACAAAACAAUAGCAAAUCCUGACGCACACAACAAUCCCUCCUUCUCCAGUUUCACAGAGAAGCAAGUUCCAACGCUGUCAAGUCAAAGAUUAAAUAAAAAGAAAAAGCCAAGAGGCACACUGCCAUGCAUAUAUUAGAUGUGUGUAGAACAACGGCAUGCACACCUUCACAGAAACAAACACUGUGAGAUGAGCAAGGGUUUAAGAUCCAGCAAAGAAGCCGCCUUCUCAGCAAGUUCAUUGAGCCUGUAUUUUUAGGCCUUACUUUUCUUUAAUCCCAUCCAUUUUUAACAAUGGAACAUUAAGCAACUGAUGCUUUCCUAGAGGACAGCCCCACAAUUGGUUAUCAUUGAACUGGAGCUCCCCAGGCUGUGGCCACCAUGAUGCUACUCCCCAGGGAGGCCAGAGUUUGGCUCAGCUGGUGUGAGCAUCAGGCUGGUUUAGGCAUUUCAGACAUCCGUGCAGAAAGCAGCUCUCCUCUUUCCCCGAGCUGAGCUCCUUUCUGUUGCUCUUCUGCAUCCUUUUUGUCCUCUUGUGUACUCUUCUGGAAUUUAGCUUUGGGAAGCACGCACCAGCCAGGGGCCAAUGAGCUCGUUCGACCUUCCACUUCAUCUGUGACAGAUUCAUUUUUAAGUGGGAAUAAUGAUAAAUGCUGAUGAGGUGCAAGAUUUGACAUUCAUAUGGGAGUGCAGAGCAUGCAAUUUCUGAUUUCAAUGAAAUCCAGAAAUGGGCGGAUAUUUUUUCUUUUAUCUGCAAAGUUUUGAAGAUCAGCAGUGCAUUUGAAGCUUUUAGCUUUCAAAGGGCCUUCUUUUCCAUUGAUUUUCUGGUUGCAUAGAACUUUAGCUCCAUCAUUUUUGUUUUGAAAAAAAUCAGAAUGAAAAAAAUCUUAAUUUCAAAUUAAACAUGGAGAGCUUUCUGUGCAAGCAGGAUCCAUACUUGGUGCUGUCAAUACUUGGGAUAUGCAUGGAACUCUUGGACUGAUCUGCUGACAUGCACCAAGGAUAAGGUUCUCCCUCUGCCUAGACUAGCACUGGCAUCAAGGCAGUGCUCAGAGAACACUGUCACAUAGUUCAGCUGACCAAGUUCAGUGUUUAGUUUUCUUUUGGAAUCUUGUUUCUGUGGAUUAAUAUAUAUAUAUACUUUUGGACAAACAGUCAUUUUAAUAUCUCGGGGUAUUCCUUCCAGCAAGACAUGGACACCUCCUUUGGUUGUGUUGUUUCAUGAAUGCAACUGAUGUGAGCGUAGGUCAGCCCCGGGUAACGCUCUGUGUGUCUGGGAUGUCCUUGGGAGCACGGAUCACCUGGAUCCCAGAUGGCUGAGGCUGAUGCAUAUGGAGCAUUGCAUAAAUGCCUUAUUGUUCCUCCUAUCCUUUUCCAGUUGCUGCUUGGUGAAACAGUUACUGAGUUCAGUUUCACUCUCUGUGCUGUACAUACAGGUCAUACAGAUGCUUUAAGAUGCUGCCGAAUUGUUCUUUGGAAAAGAAAAAAGAAAAAAGAAGGAAAAAGGAAAAGGAUAUUAAGUCUUUUCACAAACCUGCAAUUGGAGUGUUUACUUUGGGUACUGAACACCCAACCCAAGUUACUGAAGCAAGUAAUCUCCUGAUGCCUGUUGCCACACGCACCUCCAACUGCUACUCACACAGCAGCCAGACAAGUGCAGCUCAAGGCUGUAGCUUCAUUGUACUGCUUCAGAUGCUGGCUGGAGGGAUGUCUUUUUCUCUUGUUCAACAACAUUUAGGUAACUUUAGAACAGGGACACCUACAGCUCCAUCAGGUGCUCAGAGCCCUGUCCACCCUGACCCUGAGCGUCUCCAGGGAUGGGGCAUCAACCACAUCUCUGGGUAACCUGUGCCAGUGCCUCACCACUCUUACUGUAAAAACAUCUUCCUUAUGUGCGAUCAAAAUCUCUUGGUCUGCAGAAGGUCUGGAGCGUGGCAAUGCUGUGCUCAAUUUCUCUGCUGCCACUCCUGCCAGCUCUUGCUCAAGCAGAACAUCUCUAAAGGCCAAGGAGGAAUUCCGCCUGUAUGAACGUCACAAAUCUGAAAACCUCUGCUGGCAGUACUGCUUUCCAGGAACACUGAUGGGGAGUUGUAGGCUAAGCACACUGCAGGCAAGCUGUGGAGUUAGCGUGCACUAGGCCUGACACAAGGUGAAGCAUUCUGGCUGCUCUCAUAUCCAAUGUGGACCAGUCAAACUGGUAUAGAGCCCUUGACUUUGAACAAGUGACAAGGCUGCAGUCUUUCAGGUGACUAAACCAUUAUGUGUCUACCAUAAAGGCCAAAAGAAGUGAAGCCAGCUCAGGCUGUAACAUCUAAAGCACCUGAAAUUGAAGGAAAUGUGAUUAAACUGAUCAAAUGGGUCAUACCUAUGUGACCCGUGCUGCAAAGGUAGGCAGAAAAGCCCACCCCGCCAGCCUGAGCUGCAAACAGCAGCAUCUGGCAAAAGACUCCUUAUUGUAGGUAUCAAGAUGCUGGUAGCUGUGCCAUUUCAAAGAAAAACAGUGGCAUUCUUGCUUCAUUGAAGCAUGACAAAGCAAAAACGGUCAGUGUUUGGCCUGUGCCCAAGUGUCAGGAUGCCUUAUAACUGCCACACAUACGAAGUCUGCAUUUUCAAGAAACUUCUGAAGUAGAGGAAGAAUGAGGAAAGCAGGGCUAAACCAGCAGGUAUGUAUUUUGCUUGUGCAUAUUGCCAUGAGCAAGCUUGCAGGCAGUUGGGCAAGGAAGGUCGGGCUUGACCAGUUUCCCCCAGGCUGUGCCUCUGCAGUCCCAGGAGGUCCAGCCCUCCUUGGUGAGCUGGUGUGCACUGAGUGUGCAUGUGCCAUGAACCUAGGAGAAGUCCCUUCAGUAUAAAUAGGCAUCCCAGGAUAUCUGAGGACUCCAACUGACUCAAUGGCAACUAUCUCAGGUAUGUCAGCCCAUGCAACUCUUGCAUUUCCCAGCUGCAGCCUACAUAGCUGGAGAGUUAAUGGGCAUGGAGAAUCUGGCUCCCUUGAUCCCAAGUGUCCAAGGAAUGACCCAGCCAUCUGCAGGAAUCAUUACCGUCCUCUGCAAGGGGGUACAAGGUCAAACCAAUUGAACGUUGUCUAAAGAGGAUCUUGGGGAGGGAAUGUUUUCAUUACAACAGUUCAUCUUUCUUUUCACAGUUCAUCAAAAGCAGGCCUUCUGCAUACACACGCAAGACAAAUAGGAAGGAGGGGUGAUGACAGAUACUGUAGGCCCAUGGUGAUUGGGAUGACCCUCCACUCACACAGUUGAUCAAAGGCAAGUAAAACAAUCAGCCAGCCAUCAGCAACAAUGUAAUAUUAAGCUCCUAAAACACCCCAUUUAAUUAAGUCAUUAUGAUCAAAAUCUCUAUACCAGAUCUUUUAAGUUAUACACGCAUAGACCUUGCCUUAAGAUAGCAGAAAAAACUUCCGGAGGGAAAGCUGCUGUUAACAACUAUUAAUGAAAUCAUAUCUCCUCCUCCCAUCCCCCAGAUCAAUUGUUCUUUGGAAGGAUAUACUUCUGCCUCAUUUCCCCACAUGGAGCUCAGAAAGCUGGGCACUUUUCUUCUGUCUAGUGCUUUGUCAUUUAUGAUGUCAGCUUCUUUUUGGGAUGAUCCCUAUGAUGUCACAGAGCCUACCUUUGUGAACCUGCUGCUGGCCUAACAAGCCUGAUCCAAAACACACUGAAGAAAUUAUCUGGCCCCUUGCACGUGCAGUCCCAGCACAGGAGGGAUGGAGAAGAGCACUUUGCUUUCAUUGAGAAUAUAUCAAUAGGAAAGCACUUGCACUGUUCAGCCUGGUUCCUGUAGUGUAGGGAUUUCUGAUCCAGGCAAGAACAAGAUGGGAUGUAAAAUGCAGCUACUCUGGAGACAGAUCUCAAGUUUUCACUAAACUCAAGAGCAUCUUUGGAGGAUGGUUGAGACUCCUUAAAUGUCUGUGUUUGGAUAAGAUGCAUCCUCCUCUGGAAGCUUCUCUCUCUGUUGACUGGAGGGAUCUGUGAAGCAGACAGAUCUGAGAAACUAGCUUAAACUAGCUAGAUAAAUGAGUAGAGAUGAGUCCCAUCGUUUAGGUUUGUAGUAAUUACUAUAAAGACUUCAGACAGUGUAAUGAUGACAAAUGGAUAGACUUUUAAUUCCUAGAUGAAAAAUAUAUUGGUUUUGUUGAUUUAUUUUUCUCUGCUUUCAUCGUUGGCUUAAGGCAAUCUAAUUCAGUACUACCUCUGCAAGUGGUGACUCAGCCCUCCAUCAUUCAUUCCCACCUCAUCACCUCUGCACCUUGGAGAUUGUGCAGUUGAGCACUCAGAUGAGGGAACUCUUCCCUUUUUUCCUGUUUUCUGCUGACUGGAGUGUUUAGCUGGAUCAGCCUCGAGCACUUGGUCUCCCAGAUGUGUGAGCCCUACAGCUAGCACAGGAGGGGGGAAGGGAACUCAUGGGCAGGGGCAGAAAAGCAAUGUUACAUAUCUUGGCAAAAAAAUCUGACUUGGAUUGGCUCAUUCCGGUCAUGAAAACACACCUAACUCACUUGUGAUCUGGUAACACCGUAGUGAGAGAUUCUACUUCUCAUUACUGGUUUCCUGAGUCAUCUGAGCAAUGGUAAUUUCCCUACCGCUCUUUUCAUUAUAGAAGGGCAUGGCAAUUAGGAAGAGUAAAACUUGCCAUAUGCUUUAAGCCAGCCAUGAGUUCAUCAAGCACCUGAAAGGAAAUCUGUCAACGUACUGCUUGGCAUGAAGCAGAUGACUUCCGCACUUGUAGUAGCACAACAGCAUUAGCCAGCACUAGGCAGGGAAGAAGGCUCAGGGGAAGGAGCAAGGGUCUUUACCCUGGAUGUUUUGAGCCACAGGAGCAGUUCCUGGAGCAGGCUACAGCUAAAGGAGUGAUGUCCCAGAGCUGGUGUAAAGAGGACUUCUGGACAGGCUAGGCUUGUAAGCCCAUCUCUUCUAAUUGUGUAUCUUGGCAAAUGGGUUGCAUCCAGGACUUUGUAAUUUGCUUACCCCAGAAGUAGAACCUUUUAUUCUGUGUAAACAGUAGGUGAGCAUUGACCCAAAUAUCAUAACCCAAACAGUGACAUCCUUAGAAAAUCCAGAUGCAUUUUCCAAGUGUCAGAACCAAGGGAAAAAACAAAGAAAGAGAAGGGAAGGGCUUAACUAAACAAUUUCAUCUGAUGAUCCAUGAAGAAAUUCCCCAUAAAUGUCAGUGGGAGAGCUUUCUCUCAGGCAAUUUGCUGUUUGCUGGGCAUUUGUUGCCACAGAGUUCAGUCUGGCUUUAGUGACCACCCUGGCUGCGUUCCCUGUCUUUGCACUGACCAGCCUACUAUCAGUCAAGAGCAAAGCAGUGUGGGGAAGAGGCGCUGAACUUCAGUAGAAAAGAACCCCCUAAACCUUAUCAUUAAGUCUUCCUCAGGGACUUGGAUUUUGAUCAGACUCCCCAAGGGUUGCGUAAAUAACGCCAAAGCAACCCUGGACUGUGCAUUCAAAAAUAACACAAUGAACGCAGACAGUGGAAUGGAGAACACAAAUGAGCUGGUGAAAUCUUUCCUGUGAAUUGCUGAGGAAACAGCUGUCCUAGAGGAUCACGUAACAGUGAACUGGAGUCUUCUGCUCUUCAAGGAGCCAUUCAAGAUGGUAUUUUUCCUUUACCACCUGUUGGAACAGUUCAAGAUUCUUCUAAAAUCCUAACUCACUACUUUCUAGCUUGGGGGCUAGAACAUGCCUGGGGUAGGGAGUUACCUGAGCCGUGAGCUUUGCUCCGAGGAGGAGUUCAUCGUUUUUGCAAAGUUGAACGUCAUCAGAAGUCCCAGAAAACCACUCACCCCUAGGAUGAGUGCAUGAGGCCCAGAUCUGGGAGGUGGCCAAGAUGUCAGCUUAAGAUGGUUCUCACUCAUCACCACACUGUGCUUACGGUUGACUUCAAGCUUCCCAGUGACUGGAAUAAAUUAAAAAAAAAAAAAAAGUUUCAGCAACAAAACAAAGAAACAAAACAAUAGACUUGUUUUGUUUCUAACUAAACCAAAACACUUCGUGACCAUUUUUUUUUUCUUUAUUUUGUCUGUUGAAGUAGUAACUUCCACAGUAUUAAAGGCAGUGGAUGACAUACAUCACCUGUGCUGGUAAACCAUCCCACUUCUCCGAUGUUGUUCCAAGGGUUCAGGGAGGACAUCAAAGCCUCUGACCCCGUAGUUCUGCAGAAACUAACACUGAUGUUCUCCAGAAUGACUACUGAGUGCACUGCCUCAAGCUUGGUUUGGUUUUGUCUGAGGUUGCUUGGGCUGCCUCCCACUUUCUGAAAGAUCCCACUUGGAGAAGACAGGUAUCUGCAGAUGCUUUUCAGCACAAAAAAAGAUGACAGAUUUGUCGAGGUUGUGGUAAAGGGAAUGAUGUCUCCUCUCUGUGGAUGGGGCUAAUGAGAAUGCUGGCUGCUGGCAGCAAGGGACGCAUCCAGCUACCUGCCCUUUUGUGAUUGCUGAAGCACAGUUUCCAGAAGGGUCACUCAGUUUUAUUAAUACACUCUUCUGUUGUCUGCUCGUCUCAUUUGUAGAAAAGAUGAAAAGACCUAAACUCAGUGCUCAAUCUUCAAUAAAAACAUUAUUAACAUCAUUCACCUUCCACAGCUCUGCUCCAGCUGCUCCACACCAUAUCCUUUUUUAGAUACUAAUAUGAAUAAUAAUAUCCGCAGUUAGACUUGCUACGAUUGCAGCAGAAAAGGAAAUUAACCCUGCUGCUUCAGAGCACAAACUGAUUCAGACAGGACAGGUUUGCCAGCCCUGUGAGAGGGAGUUCAUACAGCCUUUUCCUCAGCAUUCAGCACCUCUGGCACCUCUUCCAUCUGGGACCUUACUUCUUGGCCUCUUUCCUUGACCUUUCUUUUGUUUUUAUUUUGCUGCAGACAGCUUUGGUAACCGCUCUGAGAGGCAGGCUGCUCACCCUGUUCCUUUACCUGUUCAUCCUGUACAUAUCCUUUCCCCAACUGCAGCUGAUUCCAGCUCUCCCUUGUUCAUCUUGGUGUGUUUGUUUUUGUCAGGUCUCCCUUCAUGCCAUUUGCAGUGAAAAUUUUUGACUCUCAUGCCUCUUCUCUGUAUUCCCUUUUCCUUUUCCUCAGCGUAACACUGAGGCUGUCUUGACACCCUGGCC
Gallus gallus (chicken) is the source of this 11412-nucleotide long non-coding RNA. Lineage: Eukaryota; Metazoa; Chordata; Aves; Galliformes; Phasianidae. The record is from Ensembl.